AUACGGAGGGUGCAAGCGUUACCCGGAAUCAUUGGGUUUGAAGGGUCCGUAGGCGGACUAAUAAGUCAGGGGUGAAAUCCCACAGCUUAACUGUGGAACUGCCUUUGAUACUGUUAGUCUUGAGUUAUAUGGAAGUAGAUAGAAUGUGUAGUGUAGCGGUGAAAUGCUUAGAGAUUACACAGAAUACCGAUUGCGAAGGCAGUCUACUACAUAUAUACUGACGCUAAUGGACGAAAGCGUGGGGAGCGAACAGGAUUAGAAACCCCUGUAGUCC
This 274-nucleotide ribosomal RNA is filed under the name uncultured bacterium. RNAcentral's name for it is "partial 16S ribosomal RNA". It matches the Rfam family "Bacterial small subunit ribosomal RNA", at positions 523 to 796 of the family's 1533-position model. The record is from RNAcentral.